CUGCUGCUUCCGCCGCCGGACCGGUUCUCCAGCGCUGUCCCACGCCGCCCGGGCCCAUUUCCCGCAAUCCCCAGACAUCCGCACCUUCCCGCGCUGUCGGCUCUGUCAGCGCCGCUGUCCUGCGUCGUAGUCGAGGAGCCCGUGGCCGUGCGAGCUCUGCGGCUGUCUUGGAAGCAGAUGGAGACUGUCCCUUGGACGGCUUUGCGGGCCGAGCCGCAGGCAGCACCCCUUUCUGCCCCGCAGGACCGUGGUCCGCAGCGCCAGAUGCCCCCCCACCCCCGUGUGCAGGGCUGAGGCCUGCUGGGAGUGUGUCGUGACUGCUGUUCCAUGUAUGUGAGAGGCGAUGUCAGGAAAACCUGGAUCAGGAGGUCCCAGGUAAGUGGUGUCCUGCCUGGUUCUCUAGAGCUUAAAUUCUGUGCGGGCUGUGAGGCCGGAGGUGUUCAGGUGAUGAGAUGUGGGAAUGAGUGCUGGUGAAGACUUCUUCCCAGCGUUCCCAGCUGUGUCCCCUUGAGCUGGCGGAAGCAGGCCUGGGCCCUCUUCGGCUCCUGAGAGCCCCUGAUGAAGGCUCCUGUGACGUGGAAAGCGGCAGUAUUGGGACGG
Molecule: long non-coding RNA, 600 nt
Filed under: Ursus americanus (American black bear)
Lineage: Eukaryota; Metazoa; Chordata; Mammalia; Carnivora; Ursidae
Description: lncRNA (ENSUAMG00000000998.1)
Source: RNAcentral